UACGUAGGGGGCAAGCGUUGUCCGGAUUUAUUGGGCGUAAAGAGCGUGUAGGCGGCCAUACAGGUCAGCUGUGAAAACUCGAGGCUCAACCUCGAGACGUCGGUUGAAACCGUAUGGCUAGAGUCCGGAAGAGGAGAGUGGAAUUCCCGGUGUAGCGGUGAAAUGCGCAGAUAUCGGGAAGAACACCUAUGGCGAAGGCAGCUCUCUGGGACGGUACCGACGCUGAGACGCGAAAGCGUGGGAGCGAACAGG
This 252-nucleotide ribosomal RNA is filed under the name uncultured bacterium. RNAcentral's name for it is "partial 16S ribosomal RNA". It matches the Rfam family "Bacterial small subunit ribosomal RNA", at positions 524 to 776 of the family's 1533-position model. The record is from RNAcentral.